This 253-nucleotide ribosomal RNA is filed under the name uncultured bacterium. Its description in RNAcentral is "partial 16S ribosomal RNA". It matches the Rfam family "Bacterial small subunit ribosomal RNA", at positions 524 to 776 of the family's 1533-position model. The record is from RNAcentral.
UACGAAGGGGGCUAGCGUUGCUCGGAAUCACUGGGCGUAAAGCGCACGUAGGCGGCUUUCUAAGUCAGGGGUGAAAUCCUGGAGCUCAACUCCAGAACUGCCUUUGAUACUGGAGAGCUUGAGUCCGGGGGAGGUGAGUGGAACUCCGAGUGUAGAGGUGAAAUUCGUAGAUAUUCGGAAGAACACCCGUGGCGAAGGCGGCUCUCUGGGACGGUACUGACGCUGAGACGCGAAAGCGUGGGGAGCGAACAGG